Molecule: small nucleolar RNA, 128 nt
Organism: Sorex araneus (European shrew)
Lineage: Eukaryota; Metazoa; Chordata; Mammalia; Eulipotyphla; Soricidae
Source: Ensembl
CACCUUGUGUCUUUGGGACCAGUCGACUGUGGAAACCUUCCUUGCUGGCCAGGGAGCCAAUCCUGUUGAUUGGCAAAGCUGUCACCAUUUCAUUAGUAUCAAAUUCUGACCCGCAAAAAGGAACAUUC